Molecule: ribosomal RNA, 420 nt
Filed under: Bacillus cereus
Lineage: Bacteria; Bacillati; Bacillota; Bacilli; Caryophanales; Bacillaceae
Description: bacterial SSU rRNA
Rfam family: Bacterial small subunit ribosomal RNA
Source: RNAcentral
GAGCAACGCCGCGUGAGUGAUGAAGGCUUUCGGGUCGUAAAACUCUGUUGUUAGGGAAGAACAAGUGCUAGUUGAAUAAGCUGGCACCUUGACGGUACCUAACCAGAAAGCCACGGCUAACUACGUGCCAGCAGCCGCGGUAAUACGUAGGUGGCAAGCGUUAUCCGGAAUUAUUGGGCGUAAAGCGCGCGCAGGUGGUUUCUUAAGUCUGAUGUGAAAGCCCACGGCUCAACCGUGGAGGGUCAUUGGAAACUGGGAGACUUGAGUGCAGAAGAGGAAAGUGGAAUUCCAUGUGUAGCGGUGAAAUGCGUAGAGAUAUGGAGGAACACCAGUGGCGAAGGCGACUUUCUGGUCUGUAACUGACACUGAGGCGCGAAAGCGUGGGGAGCAAACAGGAUUAGAUACCCUGGUAGUCCCCCC